Molecule: ribosomal RNA, 503 nt
Filed under: uncultured bacterium
Lineage: Bacteria
Description: partial 16S ribosomal RNA
Rfam family: Bacterial small subunit ribosomal RNA
Source: RNAcentral
AUUGAACGCUGGCGGCAGGCUUAACACAUGCAAGUCGAGCGGGGUGAUGGUGCUUGCACUAUCACUUAGCGGCGGACGGGUGAGUAAUGCUUAGGAAUCUGCCUAUUAGUGGGGGACAACAUCUCGAAAGGGAUGCUAAUACCGCAUACGUCCUACGGGAGAAAGCAGGGGAUCACUUGUGACCUUGCGCUAAUAGAUGAGCCUAAGUCGGAUUAGUUAGUUGGUGGGGUAAGGGCCUACCAAGGCGACGAUCUGUAGCGGGUCUGAGAGGAUGAUCCGCCACACUGGGACUGAGACACGGACCAGACUCCUACGGGGGGCAGCAGUGGGGAAUAUUGGACAAUGGGGGGAACCCUGAUCCAGCCAUGCCGCGUGUGUGAAGAAGGCCUUAUGGUUGUAAAGCACUUUAAGCGAGGAGGAGGCUCUUUUGGUUAAUACCCAAGAUGAGUGGACGUUACUCGCAGAAUAAGCACCGGCUAACUCUGUGCCAGCAGCCGCGGUAA